RNAcentral lists this unclassified non-coding RNA (319 nucleotides) under Basidiomycota sp. RNAcentral describes it as "partial contains small subunit ribosomal RNA, internal transcribed spacer 1, and 5.8S ribosomal RNA". The stretch from base 1 to 47 matches the Rfam family "Eukaryotic small subunit ribosomal RNA", at positions 1785 to 1831 of the family's 1831-position model. The record is from RNAcentral. Lineage: Eukaryota; Fungi; Basidiomycota.
AAAGUCGUAACAAGGUUUCCGUAGGUGAACCUGCGGAAGGAUCAUUAACAAAUCGUAUCGUUGUGUGUGUGUGUGGGGGAGGGGGAUUCUCCCUUUACCCACCCACAUCACAUCAAUAUUAACCCGAACCCGCGCAGCAAUGCCGGGCGAGGUAUAUACGUGUUCUGGGGCCUUUGCGGGUCGCAGGGCACGUCGAUGGAGACGACGACGCGUGUCGCAAGAUGUGCGCCAGUCCGACCCACAUAAACGCUUGUAUAUGUUUGACAGAUAGUAUUGCUCCAAAAAAUGACAACUUUUAACAAUGGAUCUCUUGGCUCUU